Molecule: long non-coding RNA, 2139 nt
Organism: Acanthochromis polyacanthus (spiny chromis)
Lineage: Eukaryota; Metazoa; Chordata; Actinopteri; Pomacentridae
Exons: 3
Source: RefSeq, a predicted model, not a curated record
CAGAGAUGGAAGCGGUCAGCAGUUCAACAGCAGUGUUAAUUUUUGUUUCUUUGACUGGUGCGAUGAUGGCAAUCGUUAUAACUGGAACAAUUCUGGGAUUUAUCCACAGGAGAAGAAGUUGUUGCAACUGUUCAAGGUCAGAAGAUCCUGGAUCACCUGAACAUGAAACUCCUGGCUCUUCAGAUGAAAAUGAACCAGAUGAGCCUUACUCAAGCCUUCAACACCCCACAAAUGAUGUCUACCAGACUAUCACCUCAGUUCAACAUGACAGCAAGACUAAUUCAGCAAACAAUAUAACUGUGGACUUGGUCUGACUUGAUGGAUAUGAACAGUGAAUGUUAGAAUGUGAGUCCUGCCACACUUUUAAUGUGACUUUCUCCUCUUCUUCUUCUGCCUUUGAGUUACUGUUUACAAAAUCCCCUUUGCUUCAGAAAAUAGCAAAAAGAACAACCUCACAGCAGCAACUUACAGACUAAAAAUAUCUACAGUGGCAGUGAAUUAGUUAUUGAAUUACAACACUUGAUUCCCUUCAUGCAAAUGUUCCAGCAAAACAAGUUCCCUCGUCACUACUGUUGUGGGACAUCAUUGCUGCAUCUUAUCCAAGAUGAUUUUAUUUGGUUUAAAAGAAGAGAAAGAAACAAUCAGGAGUGUUUGUACCCUCCUGAAGCAGAAUGAUGUUGAGGUGCAGUCACACCAUUCUACACAGUGAUGUGUAAAAUAGUCUGUCGCCUAUCUGAAAACACUUAAACAAAAUGUGAAGCCAACCUAAAUAUGUUUGAUGCAGAUGCAGAUUUACACUAACCUUGCCAGCAAGUUGAUUUCUUGCGAUAUUUGUGAGUUCACAAAUCUCUCAAGAAACCAUCUUGCACCGCUCCCGCAUUCACUGUUCGUACAGAGCCAAGUUGGCACGGGCCAAUCACGCAGCAGUAUUCGUGUGUGGGGCGGGAUAUCCGGGUGUGAAGACGACACCAAGCGCCAGUAGAUCAAAACAAACAUGGCAACGGAGGACAACGAUCGUGUAGAUGCUGCUAUUAAGUCAGUUUUAGCUGAAUCUCCUAUCGCUUCUUUGAAGGAAGAACAACGAGAGGCACUUUGCGCAUUUGUGGAUGGUAAAGAUGUUUGUGCUUUUUUACCUACGGGUUUUGGUAAGAGUUUAAUCUACCAAUUGGCUCCGCUCGUUGUGAAGAUCCCGCGAUUGGCUAAAAACAAACCUGUCAGAGGCGGGACAUACUGUUGCAUUGUCCAAUCCGUGCCUCUUUCCUCCGAACGGAUUUACAUGGAGCGGUCCCAGAUUGAUAUUGUGGAGUACUAUCAAGUACUACACAAUUAUUAAUCUGGCUAUUGCCAGGUUAGAUUUACACACGUGAAGACGUCUUCUUUAUGUGGAAUAUAGACAAGAAGAUGAUGUUCUUGAAACUGGUGUCGCUGUUGGUCUUCAAAAAGAAGGAAAAUUGCUUCCCUCAUGACUUGGAUAAUAAAUAAAAACUAAACUCAGUUUCUGGGGAAAGUUACUAUCAGGUCAUGAGAGAGGUUUGCUACUGAUCACAUGUGCAAUGCUACAGUUCUGUGUGGUCUUCUGGAGGAAAGUGUUAACAAAAAUAAAGCCAUGUGAUAUAUUUAAUGAUCAGAAAUGUUUGGAGGAGAGAAGGUGAGGCCUUUAACCUCAAGAACACCGUACCUACCAUCAAGCAUGGUGGUGGCAGUAUCAUGCUCUGUGGAAGUGGAGCUUUACACAAAGUAAAUUGAAUAAUGAUAGAUAAAAGAAAGAUAAACCAGAAGCUUGUAGACAAAAACCAAAAGAACCAAACUGAGAGGAAAAUGGCCAACGGAAAUUUCACUAAAUUCAGAGUUACAGAAGUAAUUGUAAACCCAGGACUGUUGUGAUUUAUAUGAUCUUCGCAAGUGUAUGUAAAACUUUUUUUCCACAACUGCUUUUGUUUUAUUGAUUCAAGAGCAAUAUAUAAAUGUAUUGCUGUUGUACUGUGACUUGUUUGCACUGGUUGACAACGAAAGGCUAAUACAAUAUUUUGUCAUAUUUUUUACGAUGUUGAAUCAUUAUAAUGCACCAUCUGUUGGACUAAGAUGCUUUAACACUUGUAAGUCUUGAAAUCAGGGUGACUGAUUUGUUCAUUUUCAUUC